AGUGAACGCUGGCGGCGUGCUUAACACAUGCAAGUCGAACGGUAACAGCAGAGCUUGCUCUGGCUGACGAGUGGCGCACGGGUGAGUAAUAUAUAGUUAAUGUGCCUCGAAGACUGGGAUAGCCAUUGGAAACGAUGAUUAAUACUAGAUAGUCCUUUCUAACAUAAGUUAGAUUGGUAAACGUUUUUUCGCUUCGAGAUCAGACUAUAUCCCAUCAGUUAGUUGGUAGUGUAAGAGACUACCAAGGCAAUGACGGGUAGCGGGUUUGAGAGGAUGAUCCGCCACACUGGUACUGAGACACGGACCAG
This 308-nucleotide ribosomal RNA is filed under the name uncultured Sulfurimonas sp. RNAcentral describes it as "bacterial SSU rRNA". It matches the Rfam family "Bacterial small subunit ribosomal RNA", at positions 29 to 334 of the family's 1533-position model. Lineage: Bacteria; Pseudomonadati; Campylobacterota; Epsilonproteobacteria; Campylobacterales; Sulfurimonadaceae. The record is from RNAcentral.